RNAcentral lists this ribosomal RNA (346 nucleotides) under uncultured bacterium. RNAcentral describes it as "bacterial SSU rRNA". It matches the Rfam family "Bacterial small subunit ribosomal RNA", at positions 28 to 385 of the family's 1533-position model. The record is from RNAcentral.
GAUGAACGCUAGCGGCAGGCUUAAUACAUGCAAGUCAAGGGGGUAGCAAUACAACCGGCGCACGGGUGAGUAACGCGUACACAACAUACCAUAUACUGGAGUAUAGCGUUCGGGAAACUGAAGGUAAUCCUCCAUAACAUUGCGAGAAGGCAUCUAAUUGCAAUUAAAGUUUCGACGGUAUAUGAUUGGUGUGCGUUUGAUUAGCUAGUUGGUAGGGUAACGGCCUACCAAGGCGACGAUCAAUAGCUGGCGUGAGAGCGCGACCAGCCACACUGGAACUGAGACACGGUCCAGGACUCCUACGGGAGGCAGCAGUAGGGAAUAUUGGACAAUGGGCGAAAGCCUG